GAUGAACGCUGGCGGCGUGCUUAACACAUGCAAGUCGAACGGAAAGGCCCAAGCUUGCUUGGGUACUCGAGUGGCGAACGGGUGAGUAACACGUGGGUGAUCUGCCCUGCACUUCGGGAUAAGCCUGGGAAACUGGGUCUAAUACCGGAUAGGACCACAUUUUGGAUGGUGUGGUGGAAAGUUUUUCGGUGUGGGAUGAGCUCGCGGCCUAUCAGCUUGUUGGGGGGGUAAUGGCCUACCAAGGCGUCGACGGGUAGCCGGCCUGAGAGGGUGUACGGCCACAUUGGGACUGAGAUACGGCCCAGACUCCUACGGGAGGCAGCAGUGGGGAAUAUUGCACAAUGGGCGCAAGCCUGAUGCAGCGACGCCGCGUGGGGGAUGACGGCCUUCGGGUUGUAAACUCCUUUCGCUAGGGACGAAGCGCAAGUGACGGUACCUGGAGAAGAAGCACCGGCUAACUACGUG
Molecule: ribosomal RNA, 465 nt
Filed under: uncultured bacterium
Lineage: Bacteria
Description: partial 16S ribosomal RNA
Rfam family: Bacterial small subunit ribosomal RNA
Source: RNAcentral